Molecule: ribosomal RNA, 32 nt
Filed under: Fusarium oxysporum
Lineage: Eukaryota; Fungi; Ascomycota; Sordariomycetes; Hypocreales; Nectriaceae
Also listed under: 2 other names
Description: partial 18S ribosomal RNA
Source: RNAcentral
UUCCGUAGGUGAACCUGCGGAGGGAUCAUUAC